UACGGGGGGGGCAAGCGUUGUUCGGAAUUACUGGGCGUAAAGGGCUCGUAGGCGGCCAACUAAGUCGGACGUGAAAUCCCUCAGCUUAACUGGGGAACUGCGUCUGAUACUGGAUGGCUUGGAUUCGGGAGAGGGAUGCGGAAUUCUCGGUGUAGCGGUGAAAUGCGUAGAUAUCGAGAGGAACACCUGCGGCGAAGGCGGGUAGCUGGGCCGACACUGACGCUGAGGCGCGAAAGCCAGGGGAGCGAACGGG
This 253-nucleotide ribosomal RNA is filed under the name uncultured bacterium. RNAcentral's name for it is "partial 16S ribosomal RNA". It matches the Rfam family "Bacterial small subunit ribosomal RNA", at positions 524 to 776 of the family's 1533-position model. The record is from RNAcentral.